CCUACGGGGGGCUGCAGUGGGGAAUAUUGGACAAUGGGCGAAAGCCUGAUCCAGCCAUGCCGCGUGUGUGAAGAAGGCCUUCGGGUUGUAAAGCACUUUCAGUGGGGAAGAAAGCCUUGGGGCUAAUACCCUCGAGGAAGGACAUCACCCACAGAAGAAGCACCGGCUAACUCCGUGCCAGCAGCCGCGGUAAUACGGAGGGUGCGAGCGUUAAUCGGAAUUACUGGGCGUAAAGCGCGCGUAGGCGGUCUGAUAAGCCGGUUGUGAAAGCCCCGGGCUCAACCUGGGAACGGCAUCCGGAACUGUCAGACUAGAGUGCAGGAGAGGAAGGUAGAAUUCCCGGUGUAGCGGUGAAAUGCGUAGAGAUCGGGAGGAAUACCGGUGGCGAAAGCAGCCUUCUGGACUGACACUGACGCUGAGAUGCGAAAGCGUGGGUAGCAAACAGGAUUAGAUACCCUGGUAGUC
This 465-nucleotide ribosomal RNA is filed under the name Vreelandella stevensii. RNAcentral describes it as "partial 16S ribosomal RNA". It matches the Rfam family "Bacterial small subunit ribosomal RNA", at positions 338 to 795 of the family's 1533-position model. Lineage: Bacteria; Pseudomonadati; Pseudomonadota; Gammaproteobacteria; Oceanospirillales; Halomonadaceae. The record is from RNAcentral.